AUUUUCAGUUGAUGCUCUGAUAAUCGAGAUCCCAUAGGGAACAGUCAUCAUGAAAAAUCCUGAUCAUUCGUAAUCCUAACUAUCAUCGUCAUCAUCAUGUAUUAUUGAGUGAAUCUAACCAUCAUUAUCAAUGAUCUGGUCAUCAUCAUCAUUGAGUUAUUGAGUGAACCUAAUCAUUAUCAUGAAUGAUCCUUAUCAUCACGAUGAAAGACCCUAACCCUAAUCGUGAAAGAUCCUGAUCAUCAUCAUGAAUGAUUCUAACCAUCAUCAUAAAAUAUUCGAACCAUCACCACGAGUGAUCCUAAACAUUAUCAGAAGAGGUCCUGACCAUCAUCUUCAAAGUAUUAUUAUUAUUCGACUUUGAUUAUUUACUAGAAUUCUGUGAACAUUUUAAUUGUGACUUCCACACAUAAUUGGAUACUUAUCUACGGCAGUCACUAAACUGUUCGACACAGUAUUGUAAAAAAACUAAAUUUCAACAUUAAUCCGUCUUUCUCCCCUAUUAAUACUCUUGUUGACUAUUUCACAAAGUUGCAACUGCCUUUCGACAGACUAUAAACUAGGCCUGCCUCAUUUUAAACAGUGAGGUUUUGAAUACUCGAUUUUACGUGCACGUCCCGCUCAAACACUUUGUUAAGAUACUUUAAAGAAAACGGGACUACGUACGUUCCAUAGAGAGAUGAACUAAAUAAUCAGCAUCAAUCAAUUCCUUUUAAGAAAUACCCUUUUUUUCCUCCUCCUGUUAAGCUGAAUGUUCUAUAGAUGUGUGAAUAGCUCGCAAGAAAUAUAUAGUUUGAAAAUAAAUUUGCACAGUAAUCGUAAAAAGUGCACGUGGAGUUAAAGUGGAAAUAUUUAGGUAAAAUAGAUAUUUAAGGAACCAAUAAAAUAGGGCUAAGAUAUCUGAUAAAUUGUAUAUAGAUUAAGGGAGGGAUUGAGAGAUAGACCGACGAGUGGAUUGAAAGAUAAAUGGAUUUACGGACUGAUAUACAGAUAGGUGACGGACGGACAGAUAAACAUAAAGAUAUAUAUAAGAACAGAUAGAUUAACAGAAAAGAUAGAUAGAUGAACAGAAAGAUAGAUAGGUAGAUUGAUAGACGGAUAGACAGACAAAUAGGUAGAAAGAUAGAUAUGUAGAUUGAUAGACGGAUAGACAGACAAAUAGGUAGAAAGACAGAUAGUAGAUUGAUAGACGGAUAGACAGACAAAUAGGUAGAAAGACAGAUAGGUAGAUUGAUAGACGGAUGGACAGAUACCAAGAUGAACGGACAGACAAAUAAAUAGAUCAACGAACGGAUAGUAAGAUAGAUAAAUGGACGGACGGACAGGAUUUUAUUUUUUGAAACAUUGGAAAGUAAAAGUUUAUUUUGUAACGUAUCGCUUAUAAACAGGUCGGAUUUCAUUGACAAUUUAAAAUAAUUAGGAUAGUAGGCUAUUUCACUGAAAUGAUUUAACAUUACUCGACAUAGCAACAAAUACCCACCUCGCUUUCUAUUGCUUUGUUAAUUCGGCGUGUUUACAACUUUCUGUUUGUCGUGUAUGUGCAUAGACAGAGUAAAAUAAUAUUGUCCAGACUACAACCACACAUUUCGAUUGCAUAAAAUUUUAAUACUUUAACGUAUUUUAAACUGUCAAAAUUGUUUGCAAUUGUUCUAUUGUUGUUUAGAAACAGUCUUUAUGGAAUCCCCUCCCUCCCAGUGGCUCAGCGGUAAUCUUGAGAGCUUUUAGCGCUACAAUUCAGGUCCGAUCCCUGCGGUGAGCAGCACAGAUUGUCCAUUGCGAAGCUUCGUAAUUAACAACAAAUAGAUAAUUUCACGUCUAUAUGAAGAAUAAAAGUACAGAAGUUUGAACUAAAGAAAUAGGGACUGAAAUCAUGACAAGAUUAGGGCCUAUAACGAUAUUAUCUUUCAUCAGAAUUUAGAGAAGAAACUAAUCAAGAAGCGUGCAGACAUUUUAUGACUAGGAAUAUACAUAACGUCCUAUGUAUACCUUUUCUUUUCUUUUUUCCGACGUCACGAAGAAAGUAUUCUCCGUUUGGAAAUAUCAUGAUCUUCUUUUCAACAUAAACAUUUAUAGCAAAUUACCACUUGGAAAACUGAUGGAAAAUGACGGUUUUAUUAAGUGUUACGUCACUCGCGAUUAGAGAGACGUCACUUCCUCCCGUUGUUAAACUGCUUGCAAGGAAUAGGUCUAUGAAUCAAUCAUCACGUGUUAUAUCCUGGUACAUUUAAUCAUCAAGCAUUUACUUUAAUACGUCACCAGAAAACAAUUUUCUCCUCUGCAGGCGGCGGACACCAGGGUUUGCUAUUAUAUAUUAUAAUAAAGAAAAAGUAGUACACGACUGCCCUCUAGACGUUCGCAUCAGAAAAGUUUCUAAUUUGUUCUAAUCGUCCCACAAAUGUUCGUGCAGUAAACUUAUAGAGUACGUAUACCAGCUGGUGGUUAAUUGACAAUGAUGAAAGAUCUUGAAGUAAGUUUCAGAGUCUUACGGAAUAUGGUCGUUACUUAAGUAGCCCAGCCUAUAGACCGUCUAAUGACUUACUAACGUCGUUCAUUAACAUUUAUCUUGUUCGUUCGAUUUCAUCAAGGACUAUUAUAAUUGGCUAUGGUAAUGUGACUUGGAAUGUUGUAUCGAAUUAUCGUCUCUUGUCUUUUGAGUAUAAAACAAACAGACGUAGUUUCUGUAUUUUGUUUCUCUGUAUUGCUAAUUAUCUGCACGUGUUUGUAAAUCAUUGUUAUUUUUAUUUUUCUGAAAAACAGAUUGCAUUCAUUAAUCUGAAUAAAUUACUAUAAGACACCAGUA
RNAcentral lists this long non-coding RNA (2800 nucleotides) under Limulus polyphemus (Atlantic horseshoe crab). RNAcentral describes it as "uncharacterized LOC111089610". The record is from RNAcentral. Lineage: Eukaryota; Metazoa; Arthropoda; Merostomata; Xiphosura; Limulidae.